UCUCCGUUGGUGAACCUGCGGAGGGAUCAUUACAGAGUUAUCUAACUCCCAAACCUAUGUGUACUUACCAUUUGUUGCCUCGGCAGAGCCUACCCGUUAACUGUUCGGAGAAGCUACCCUGUAGCUAACCUGUAACGGCCUACCCUGUAACGCACUGCCGGUGGACUAUUAAACUCUUGUUAUUUUAUAGUAAUCUGAUCGUCUUAUUUUAAUAAGUCAAAACUUUCAACAACGGAUCUCUUGGUUCUGGCAUCGAUGAAGAACGCAGC
This 269-nucleotide unclassified non-coding RNA is filed under the name uncultured fungus. Its description in RNAcentral is "sequence contains ITS1, 5.8S rRNA gene". The stretch from base 221 to 269 matches the Rfam family "5.8S ribosomal RNA", at positions 1 to 49 of the family's 154-position model. The record is from RNAcentral. Lineage: Eukaryota; Fungi.